RNAcentral lists this ribosomal RNA (429 nucleotides) under Chloroflexota bacterium. Its description in RNAcentral is "Chloroflexi bacterium partial 16S ribosomal RNA". It matches the Rfam family "Bacterial small subunit ribosomal RNA", at positions 355 to 776 of the family's 1533-position model. Lineage: Bacteria; Bacillati; Chloroflexota. The record is from RNAcentral.
UGGGGAAUAUUGCACAAUGGGCGCAAGCCUGAUGCAGCCAUGCCGCGUGUGUGAAGAAGGCAUUCGGGGUGUAAAGCACUUUCAGCGGGGAGGAAGGCGUGAAGGUUAAUAACCUUGGCGAGUGACGGUACCCGCAGAAGAAGCAACGGCUAACGCCGUGCCAGCAGCCGCGGUAAUACGGAGGGUGCAAGCGUUAAUCGGAAUUACUGGGCGUAAAGCGCACGCAGGCGGUCUGUCAAGUCGGAUGUGAAAUCCCCGGGCUCAACCUGGGAACUGCAUUCGAAACUGGCAGGCUAGAGUCUUGUAGAGGGGGGUAGAAUUCCAGGUGUAGCGGUGAAAUGCGUAGAGAUCUGGAGGAAUACCGGUGGCGAAGGCGGCCCCCUGGCCAAAGACUGACGCUCAGGUGCGAAAGCGUGGGGAGCAACCCGG